This 75-nucleotide transfer RNA is filed under the name Candidatus Eiseniibacteriota bacterium. RNAcentral's name for it is "tRNA-Asn". It matches the Rfam family "tRNA". From Rfam's summary of the family: Transfer RNA (tRNA) molecules are approximately 80 nucleotides in length. The record is from RNAcentral. RNAcentral also lists the same sequence under 1 other name. Lineage: Bacteria; Candidatus Eiseniibacteriota.
UCCUCGGUAGCUCAAUGGUAGAGCAUCCGGCUGUUAACCGGAGGGUUGUAGGUUCAAGUCCUACCCGGGGAGCCA